This 771-nucleotide ribosomal RNA is filed under the name uncultured bacterium. Its description in RNAcentral is "bacterial SSU rRNA". It matches the Rfam family "Bacterial small subunit ribosomal RNA", at positions 8 to 761 of the family's 1533-position model. The record is from RNAcentral.
AGAGUUUGAUCCUGGCUCAGGACGAACGCUGGCGGCAUGCCUAAUACAUGCAAGUCGAGCGAACAGAUGAAGUGCUUGCACUUCUGACGUUAGCGGCGAACGGGUGAGUAACACGUAAGGAAUCUACCUAUAAGCGGGGGAUAACAUUCGGAAACGGGUGCUAAUACCGCAUAAUAUCUUCUUCCGCAUGGAAGAAGAUAGAAAGACGGCUCUGCUGUCACUUAUAGAUGACCUUGCGGUGCAUUAGUUAGUUGGUGGGGUAACGGCCUACCAAGACGAUGAUGCAUAGCCGACCUGGGAGGGUGAUCGGCCACAUUGGGACUGAGACACGGCCCAAACUCCUACGGGAGGCAGCAGUAGGGAAUCUUCCGCAAUGGGCGAAAGCCUGACGGAGCAAUGCCGCGUGAGUGAAGAAGGCCUUCGGGUCGUAAAACUCUGUUAUAAGAGAAGAACAAAUUGUAGAGUAACUGCUACAGUCUUGACGGUAUCUUAUCAGAAAGCCACGGCUAACUACGUGCCAGCAGCCGCGGUAAUACGUAGGUGGCAAGCGUUGUCCGGAUUUAUUGGGCGUAAAGGGAGCGCAGGUGGUUUCUUAAGUCUGAUGUGAAAGCCCACGGCUUAACCGUGGAGGGUCAUUGGAAACUGGGAAACUUGAGUACAGAAGAGGAAUGUGGAACUCCAUGUGUAGCGGUGGAAUGCGUAGAUAUAUGGAAGAACACCAGUGGCGAAGGCGACAUUCUGGUCUGUUACUGACACUGAGGCUCGAAAGCG